CCCAGCCCCGUGAUCCUAAACCCCAGAUCUAUGAUCCUAGACCCCAAUUCCCUGACCCGAGACCCAUGAUCCCAGACCCCAAACCUAUGAUCCUAGACCCAGAUCCUGGACCCCAGACCCAGGUCCCAGACCCAUGAUCCCAAAUCCCAAACCCCAGUUCCUACAGCCAGGUCCUAGACCCCAUACCCAGCUCCCAGACCCCAGACCCAUGAUCCCAGACCCUAGACCCAUGAUCCUAGACCCCAGACCCCAAAUCCCAGACCCAGGUCCUACACCCCAGACCUAUGAUCCUAAACCCAGCUCCUAGACCCCAGUCCCAUAUCCUAGACCCACUUCCCAGACCCCAAAUCCAGAUCCUAGACCCCAAAACAAAGACUCCCAGAGCCACGAUCCUAGACCCUAAACCCCAAACCCAGAUCCCAGACCCCAGUUCCCAGACCCCAAACCUUAAACCCAGGUCCUACACCCCAAAUCCCAGACCCAGGUCCUAGACUCCAGACCUAUGAUCCCAAACCCAGUCCCCAAACCUCAGACCCAGCUCCUACACUCCAGACCCAUGAUCCUAGUCCUCAGACCAAGACCCAUGAUCCCAGACCCAGCUUCUAGACCCCAAAACCAAUUCCCAGACCCCAAAACCAGUUCCUAGAGCCAUGACCCUAGACCCCAAACCCCAGACCCAGGUCCUACACCCCAGACCUAUGAUCCUAAACCCAGCUCCUAGAACCAGUUCCCAGACCUCCAGAGCCACAAACCUAGACCCCAAACCCCAAACCCAGAUCUUAGACCCCAGUUCCCAGACCCCAAACCUUAAACCCAGGUCCUACACCCCAAACCCCAGACCCCAGACCCAGCUCCUAGAACCAGUUCCCAGACCUCCAGAGCCACAAACCUAGACCCCAAACCCCAAACCCAGAUCUUAGACCCCAGUUCCCAGACCCCAAACCUUAAACCCAGGUCCUACACCCCAAACCCCAGACCCCAGACCCAGGUCCUACACCCCAGACCCAUGACCCUAACCCCAGCCCCCAACCCCCAAACCCACACCCCCACCCCACGAUCCUAGACCCUAAACCCCAGACCCCAAACCCCAACCCCAGCCCCCAGUUCCCAGCCCCCAAACCUUAAACCCAGCUCCUACACCCCAGCCCCACGAUCCUAGACCCCAGACCCAACUCCCAGACCCCAAACCCAGCCCCUAAACCCCAGGCCCAGGCCCCAGACCCCACA
This 1227-nucleotide long non-coding RNA is filed under the name Anas platyrhynchos platyrhynchos (common mallard). RNAcentral's name for it is "lncRNA (ENSAPLG00000024551.1)". The record is from RNAcentral. Lineage: Eukaryota; Metazoa; Chordata; Aves; Anseriformes; Anatidae.